UUAUUUGAAACAGGCUACAACCUACAAUACUGGGUAAAUAUGGAUUUUAAAAAUAAAGUGGGCCUAAGAGCAGCCAUCUUAUAGAAAGCGUUAAAGCUCAACUAUUUUCUUUCCUGAAUCUCAAAAACUAUAUUGAACCCUUUAUCAAUACUGAACUAUUUUAUACUCUUAUAAAAGUCACUAUGCUAGAACUAGUAACAAGAAUUAGCCCUUCUCCAAAAUGCAUACUUAAGCCAAAAUGGACCCCCCAUUGGCAGUUACCGCAAAUGCACCUAUUAUAGUACCUCCCAACUAGACAACUCUAUAACCCUUAGCGUUAACCUGACACCAGAGCAUUACAGGAAAGAUUAAAAGAGAAAGAAGGAAUUCGGCAAAUCUCCGUCCCGCCUGUUUACCAAAAACAUCGCCUCUUGACCAAAUAUAAGAGGUCCAGCCUGCCCACUGACAUAGUUGAACGGCCGCGGUACCCUAACCGUGCGAAGGUAGCAUAAUCACUUGUUCUUUAAAUAAGGACUUGUAUCAACGGCAUCACGAGGACGAUACUGUCUCCUUUCUCCAGUCAGUGAAACUGAUCUCCCCGUGAAGAAGCGGGGAUUGACCU
Molecule: ribosomal RNA, 601 nt
Filed under: Amolops yunkaiensis (Yunkai torrent frog)
Lineage: Eukaryota; Metazoa; Chordata; Amphibia; Anura; Ranidae
Description: partial 16S ribosomal RNA
Rfam family: Bacterial large subunit ribosomal RNA
Source: RNAcentral